Molecule: ribosomal RNA, 407 nt
Filed under: uncultured bacterium
Lineage: Bacteria
Description: partial 16S ribosomal RNA
Rfam family: Bacterial small subunit ribosomal RNA
Source: RNAcentral
CUUGAACGCUGGCGGCAGGCCUAACACAUGCAAGUCGCGCGGAGCGUCGGCCGGGUGAGUAAUGCCUAGGAAUCUGCCUGGUCGUGGGGGAUCACGUCCGGAAACGGGCGCUAAUACCGCAUACUCUCAGAUGAGCCUCGGGCGGAUUAGCUAGUGGGUGGGGUAAAGGCCUACCAAGGAGACGAACCGUAACUGGUCUGAGAGGAGGAUCAGUAAAAAUGGAACUGGGACAAGGGCCAGACUGCUACGGGAGGGAGCAGUGGGGAAUAUUGGACAAAGGGCGAAAGCCUGAUCCAGCCAUGCCGCGUGGGUGAAGAAGGAAUUAGGGAGGUAAAGCGGUAUAAGUUGAGGGGCGAGAAUCAAAGAAGAAGCACCGGCUAACUCCGUGCCAGCAGCCGCGGUAAUAC